RNAcentral lists this ribosomal RNA (482 nucleotides) under uncultured bacterium. Its description in RNAcentral is "bacterial SSU rRNA". It matches the Rfam family "Bacterial small subunit ribosomal RNA", at positions 8 to 507 of the family's 1533-position model. The record is from RNAcentral.
AGAGUUUGAUCCUGGCUCAGGAUGAACGCUGGCGGCGUGCUUAACACAUGCAAGUCGAACGUGAGGGGGUAGCAAUAUCCUUGAAAGUGGCGCACGGGUGAGUAAUACGUAGGUAACCUGCCCUGGAGUGGGGGAUAACAGCUAGAAAUGGCUGCUAAUACCGCAUGAGGCCGAGACACUGGGAAGUGUUUUGGCGAAAACUCUGGUGCUUCAGGAGGGGCCUGCGGCCGAUUAGCUAGUUGGCGGGGUAAGAGCCCACCAAGGCAGUGAUCGGUAGCUGGUCUGAGAGGACGAUCAGCCACACGGGAACUGAGACACGGUCCCGACUCCUACGGGGGGGCAGCAGUGAGGAAUAUUGGGCAAUGGGCGGAAGCCUGACCCAGCAACGCCGCGUGGAGGAAGACGGCCUUCGGGUUGUAAACUCCUUUUACGGGGGAAGAGGAAGGACGGUACCCCGAGAAUAAGUCACGGCUAACUACGUG